UCAACAAGAAGCAGCGACUUCCGUUUUUGCAAACCUUACCCUACUUCCUAACCAUUCCUUGAUCAAAUGCGUAUAAAAUGAAUCUUUGGUUGUUGUAUUCUUUCACAGGUAGACAUCGGUGACGGUGUAUACGUUGAAAAGGGCCUGCUGAAGAGGCUGUGCCUGGAUGCUAACAACUCAGGCUUUCACUUCGCGGAGGGCCUCCUUAAAGCUCCUUUUUCAAUAGAAGACGUUGAAGGGAGGUCCUUCUUUGGGCGGCUGUCAAAUGCCUUCCACAGAAGGAUCCGUUGGAUUCCAAGAAGGUCAACACCAUAGUAGACUACACAACGCAACAUUUCAGCCUACUUCCAGGGCAGCUGGAGAACUCGUCCUCCUUACUAGCCCGGGGAUAUUAAAUGGAUGUGUUCAAGCACAAA
Molecule: non-coding RNA, 416 nt
Organism: Dermacentor albipictus
Lineage: Eukaryota; Metazoa; Arthropoda; Arachnida; Ixodida; Ixodidae
Source: RefSeq, a predicted model, not a curated record